AACUGAGGAAAGGAAUCAACCGAGUGC
Molecule: small RNA, 27 nt
Filed under: Bombyx mori (domestic silkworm)
Lineage: Eukaryota; Metazoa; Arthropoda; Insecta; Lepidoptera; Bombycidae
Description: ovarian small RNA-4253
Source: RNAcentral